GAACGAGAUUAGGGACUUCGGUCCCUAUGAAAGUGGCGCACGGGUGCGUAACGCGUAUGCAACCUACCUUAAUCAGGGGGAUAGCCCGAAGAAAUUCGGAUUAAGACCGCAUAAAAUCACAUCACGGCAUCGUGAAAUGAUCAAAUAUUUAUAGGAUUAAGAUGGGCAUGCGUGACAUUAGUUAGUUGGUGAGGUAACGGCUCACCAAGACGACGAUGUCUAGGGGAUCUGAGAGGAUGACCCCCCACACUGGUACUGAGACACGGACCAGACUCCUACGGGAGGCAGCAGUAAGGAAUAUUGGUCAAUGGACGAAAGUCUGAACCAGCCAUGCCGCGUGCAGGAAGACGGCCCUACGGGUUGUAAACUGCUUUUGUCGGGGAAUAAACCUUCGUACGUGUACGAAGCUGAAUGUACUCGAAGAAUAAGGAUCGGCUAACUCCGUGCCAGCAGCCGCGGUAAUACGGAGGAUCCAAGCGUUAUCCGGAUUUAUUGGGUUUAAAGGGUGCGUAGGCGGUCUUGUAAGUCAGGGGUGAAAGACGGUGGCUCAACCAUCGCAGUGCCUUUGAUACUGCAGGACUUGAAUGAACCUGAGGUAGGCGGAAUGUGACAAGUAGCGGUGAAAUGCAUAGAUAUGUCACAGAACACCAAUUGCGAAGGCAGCUUACUAAAGUUUAAUUGACGCUGAGGCACGAAAGCGUGGGGAUCAAACAGGAUUAGAUACCCUGGUAGUCCACGCCCUAAACGAUGAAUACUCGAUGUUAGCGAUAUACAGUUAGCGUCUAAGCGAAAGCGUUAAGUAUUCCACCUGGGGAGUACGCCCGCAAGGGUGAAACUCAAAGGAA
Molecule: ribosomal RNA, 845 nt
Filed under: uncultured Pedobacter sp.
Lineage: Bacteria; Pseudomonadati; Bacteroidota; Sphingobacteriia; Sphingobacteriales; Sphingobacteriaceae
Description: bacterial SSU rRNA
Rfam family: Bacterial small subunit ribosomal RNA
Source: RNAcentral